Molecule: small RNA, 28 nt
Filed under: Bombyx mori (domestic silkworm)
Lineage: Eukaryota; Metazoa; Arthropoda; Insecta; Lepidoptera; Bombycidae
Description: ovarian small RNA-27304
Source: RNAcentral
UCCCGGAAUAACCCGCUGGACCAGAACC